RNAcentral lists this transfer RNA (75 nucleotides) under Nitzschia sp. NIES-3581. Its description in RNAcentral is "tRNA-His". It matches the Rfam family "tRNA". From Rfam's summary of the family: Transfer RNA (tRNA) molecules are approximately 80 nucleotides in length. RNAcentral also lists the same sequence under 1 other name. The record is from RNAcentral. Lineage: Eukaryota; Bacillariophyta; Bacillariophyceae; Bacillariales; Bacillariaceae.
GGCGGGUAUAACUCAAUUGGUUAGAGUGUUAGGUUGUGGUUCUAGAAGUUACAGGUUCAAGUCCUGUUACUCGCC